UAUAAUCUGUUUGUCACUCAAGGAGCCACC
RNAcentral lists this non-coding RNA (30 nucleotides) under Mus musculus (house mouse). Lineage: Eukaryota; Metazoa; Chordata; Mammalia; Rodentia; Muridae. The record is from RNAcentral.